CUUGGGCUUCACCAAGGCCCAAGCUUCUUGCUCGAGCUCAACGCCACGCCAUACUCAGCCCUGAACCGUUGCCCCAUCUAAAGAGGAUUCUUCGCUCGAACGUCGACAACGCCAGAGAAAUCCUCCUUCAACGGCGCGUAACCCUCGCACAACCCUGAAAAACUCACUGAAAAACAGGAAAUAGGUUUCUUCCACGACGGAAACGUCGAGAACGACGGUGGAUAUGUAAGGUGUCUCAACACCGAGAAUGAAAUUGUGCACGGAAUGGAGAAGAUCGAAAGGGGAAGAACCUUGUAUUGGCGCUGUUGAUGUCGUUGAUUCGUGAUGGAGAUCGUAUGAUGAAUGGUGAAUUGUUUUAUUCCGAGUUCGUUGAUGCCGAUUCGUCAUUGAUGAUGGAGAGCGAAGCUUGGUUCGUGCGCUAUUGAUUGAAGCUGAAGACGAAGACUUGCUCAAGCUUGUGUGUCACGAUGAAUCGAUAUGCGUCUUCGGCUUCUCAUCGAAGGUGAGUCCAUGCCGCCUUGUUGAAGAUGAAGAUUGUGGUUGGUUGUGCUUGACGGGGGAUAGUGAAUCCUCGACGCAGGUUCAAAGUCGAUGCUGGAAGAUGACAGUUGAGUUGUGUAUUUGAGGUCCUUGAUUAGUUGUUGAAGAAAAAUGGUUAUGGAUGCGUGGAUUGAAGGUGAGGUUAAAGGAGUUGUUGUUGAAGAUGCUUGAUGAAGGGUGAGGAAGAGAGUGGUCAAUUGAAGAUGGAGGAUGGUUCUGUUAUAGCAGAUUGAAGGAGUGGGGUUGUGAAGAAGUGGUGAGGGUUGUCCUUCCGUGCCUCUUUCUCGAAUGAAUAAGGUAAAUUCAGAUUCUGAAUUGGUUCAGAGGCGAUUCUCGAAGAGUGAAGUGGGUGGCUACUAGAGAUUGGAUUCGGUUAGUAGUAGUUAGGAAGUUAUUGAAGGAAUUUCGAGGUGGAUUCUAUAAUGAAUUGUGGAGUGAAGCUUCAAUGGUUGUUAGCACUUUUUCAUGGUUCCGACACUGUUGUGAGUCCCUUUUAUUUCUCCCUCCAGUUUGGUUUUUCUUUCGGUUUGCUAAGGUGAAUGAUAGGCGGCAUUAUUUUGGAUGGGGUGACGUUCUUCUUGCCGACCCUGUUGGAAACUUUUAAAAGGGUUUUAUAAAUUGGGAUUAGUGAGAAUUGGAUUUUAAUGUCAAAAUCCCCAUUUUGCAUGUUGAUGGAAGUGGGUUAGAAAUCUGAUGAAAUUCUGUUACGGUUGUUUUUAUCCUUCGGCUGGAAGUUCGGUGAGUGGUUAGAAAAUGGUUCCAAAGCUUCGAAAUUGCGAGGAAGGUGUCCUAUUGGAUUGCGGAAAAUUGUCCUAGAUCGAAAUCUUUCUUGCCUCAUAGCUGCAGUUGAAACAUUGUAUUUAUGAAUAUCAAUUAAAUGAAUUGUAAUUGGAAUUUCUUGAGAAAUAGAAAUGCAUUAUAAUUGGAAUUUAUUGAAAAAUAGAAAUGAUUUAUCA
This is a long non-coding RNA of Lathyrus oleraceus (garden pea), 1496 nucleotides long. RefSeq lists it as uncharacterized. NCBI's taxonomy places the organism in Eukaryota, Viridiplantae, Streptophyta, Magnoliopsida, Fabales, Fabaceae. The transcript is spliced from 5 exons. The record is from RefSeq and is a predicted model, not a curated record.